Molecule: ribosomal RNA, 271 nt
Filed under: uncultured prokaryote
Description: partial 16S ribosomal RNA
Rfam family: Bacterial small subunit ribosomal RNA
Source: RNAcentral
UACGGAGGGUGCGAGCGUUAUCCGGAAUCACUGGGCGUAAAGGGCGCGUAGGCGGUCUGUUAAGUCUGGCGUUAAAGCCUGGGGCUCAACCCCAGAUCAGCGUUGGAUACUGGCAGGCUAGACGGUUGGAGAGGCGAGUGGAAUUACCAGUGUAGCGGUGGAAUGCGUAGAUACUGGUAGGAACACCCAUUGCGAAGGCAGCUCGCUGGACAACACGUGACGCUGAGGCGCGAAAGUGUGGGGAGCAAACCGGAUUAGAUACCCCGGUAGU